This 90-nucleotide transfer RNA is filed under the name Dipodomys ordii (Ord's kangaroo rat). It matches the Rfam family "tRNA". From Rfam's summary of the family: Transfer RNA (tRNA) molecules are approximately 80 nucleotides in length. Their secondary structure includes four short double-helical elements and three loops (D, anti-codon, and T loops). Further hydrogen bonds mediate the characteristic L-shaped molecular structure. tRNAs have two regions of fundamental functional importance: the anti-codon, which is responsible for specific mRNA codon recognition, and the 3' end, to which the tRNAs corresponding amino acid is attached (by aminoacyl-tRNA synthetases). tRNAs cope with the degeneracy of the genetic code in two manners: having more than one tRNA (with a specific anti-codon) for a particular amino acid; and 'wobble' base-pairing, i.e. permitting non-standard base-pairing at the 3rd anti-codon position. Lineage: Eukaryota; Metazoa; Chordata; Mammalia; Rodentia; Heteromyidae. The record is from Rfam by way of RNAcentral.
GGCGAUAUGGCUCAAAUGGUAGAGCUCCUGCCUUGGGUGAAAAAGUCAAGUGCAAGUGUAAGGUCCUGGGUUCAAACCCCAAUAUUGGCA